Molecule: ribosomal RNA, 465 nt
Filed under: uncultured bacterium
Lineage: Bacteria
Description: bacterial SSU rRNA
Rfam family: Bacterial small subunit ribosomal RNA
Source: RNAcentral
CUACGGGAGGCAGCAGUGGGGGAUUUUGGACAAUGGGCGCAAGCCUGAUCCAGCAAUGCCGCGUGUGUGAAGAAGGCCUGCGGGUUGUAAAGCACUUUAAGCAGGAAAGAAGGCUUCAGGGUUAAUACCCUUGGGGAUUGACGUUACCUGCAGAAUAAGCACCGGCUAACUCCGUGCCAGCAGCCGCGGUAAUACGGAGGGUGCGAGCGUUAAUCGGAAUUACUGGGCGUAAAGCGCGCGUAGGCGGUUUGCUAAGUCCGCUGUGAAAGCCCCGGGCUUAACCUGGGAACUGCAGUGGAUACUGGCAAGCUAGAGUAUGGUAGAGGAGAGUGGAAUUUCCGGUGUAGCAGUGAAAUGCGUAGAGAUCGGAAGGAACACCAGUGGCGAAGGCGGCUCUCUGGACCAAUACUGACGCUGAGGUGCGAAAGCGUGGGGAGCAAACAGGAUUAGAAACCCGAGUAGUCC